AGAUGGUCCGGUUGGUUAUGGAAGAAAAGGCAGCAGGAGAAAUUUGUACCUCCUAUCCCAACAACAAAAACGUGGAAGGAUUCGAGAUGGAAACCUAAUCUAUAUUCAAUAGAGGAGAUUUCUCCAUGAGUAUCUUUUCCCGGUAUGUCAUUUUUUCAUGAAGUUUAAAACCUAAUCUAUAUUCAAUAGAGGAGAAUUCUCCAUGAGUAUCUUUUCCCGGUAUGUCAAUUUUUCAUGAAGUUUAACUGCAAAGCUCUAUCUUUAGCUAAGGAGAGAUAAUGGUCAGUUUUGCUAGAUUGUGUUCUUUUCCCAUUGCACUCUCUCAAAUUUUUUUUUUUGGAUGUCAUUAUUUGUGUUAGU
Molecule: long non-coding RNA, 360 nt
Filed under: Nicotiana benthamiana
Lineage: Eukaryota; Viridiplantae; Streptophyta; Magnoliopsida; Solanales; Solanaceae
Description: long non-coding RNA (NBEN_LNC029156)
Source: RNAcentral